CUUGCCCCGGUACCUCUUUCCUGUUCUGACCCUCACCCCAAUUCCAAGGCAUGAGGCACUCCGCUGUGUUCUCAGCAGUGAGGACAGACAACCUUAGUUUCAUCAGUGACGACUCAAGCACUUCCCAGGCCGAGACCCCGAGUAGGUCCCAAAUGGCUCCAGUUCAAACCUGCUAGGCAGGAGAUUUCCAUCAAAUCGUCCAGCCUCUGAAGGCCAGCCCCACAACCAGCAGGAAGCAGACACUCACCUGUCAAACCUCAGUGGCAUUAGCUAAGAGGUAAGU
This 283-nucleotide long non-coding RNA is filed under the name Ictidomys tridecemlineatus (thirteen-lined ground squirrel). RNAcentral describes it as "lncRNA (ENSSTOG00000030790.1)". Lineage: Eukaryota; Metazoa; Chordata; Mammalia; Rodentia; Sciuridae. The record is from RNAcentral.